This 594-nucleotide ribosomal RNA is filed under the name Salmonella enterica subsp. enterica. Its description in RNAcentral is "partial 23S ribosomal RNA". It matches the Rfam family "Bacterial large subunit ribosomal RNA", at positions 2349 to 2925 of the family's 2925-position model. Lineage: Bacteria; Pseudomonadati; Pseudomonadota; Gammaproteobacteria; Enterobacterales; Enterobacteriaceae. The record is from RNAcentral.
GUGCAAUGGCAUAAGCCAGCUUGACUGCGAGCGUGACGGCGCGAGCAGGUGCGAAAGCAGGUCAUAGUGAUCCGGUGGUUCUGAAUGGAAGGGCCAUCGCUCAACGGAUAAAAGGUACUCCGGGGAUAACAGGCUGAUACCGCCCAAGAGUUCAUAUCGACGGCGGUGUUUGGCACCUCGAUGUCGGCUCAUCACAUCCUGGGGCUGAAGUAGGUCCCAAGGGUAUGGCUGUUCGCCAUUUAAAGUGGUACGCGAGCUGGGUUUAGAACGUCGUGAGACAGUUCGGUCCCUAUCUGCCGUGGGCGCUGGAGAACUGAGGGGGGCUGCUCCUAGUACGAGAGGACCGGAGUGGACGCAUCACUGGUGUUCGGGUUGUCAUGCCAAUGGCACUGCCCGGUAGCUAAAUGCGGAAGAGAUAAGUGCUGAAAGCAUCUAAGCACGAAACUUGCCCCGAGAUGAGUUCUCCCUGAGACUUAGAGUAUCCUGAAGGAACGUUGAAGACGACGACGUUGAUAGGCCGGGUGUGUAAGCGCAGCGAUGCGUUGAGCUAACCGGUACUAAUGAACCGUGAGGCUUAACCUUACAACGCCGAAG